Molecule: long non-coding RNA, 385 nt
Filed under: Sinocyclocheilus grahami
Lineage: Eukaryota; Metazoa; Chordata; Actinopteri; Cypriniformes; Cyprinidae
Description: lncRNA (ENSSGRG00000026760.1)
Source: RNAcentral
CAUUGAUGCCACUAGAAAGCAGGAGGAGCCGCUGGCUAAGUUGACUGGAAGGAAAGUGAAGGAUGUCUCCAAAGAGACUGACGUGAAUAUCCUCAAGAACUUGAUUGCAGAGCUGCAGAAAGAGGUGACCGAGCUGGAGAAGCGUGGAGAUGCGUUGGAGGCCGAAAUAGAAGUCAAGAAAGCCAAAUACCUGGAGGAGAUAGAGGAGCUGGAGAAUUACAUUUGUCAGCUGGAGGAGGAGGAGGCUGAUCUUCAGUUCCAGAUGAAGGAUCAGAGUGGGGACUAUGAAGAACGGCUGAAUCAGAAGAUGAAUCUAGACAUAGAAAUUGCUGCUUACAGGUGAUGCAUGUUAUGACGAUCAUUAGUGGUGCUGUGUGAAGGCAAG